This 1075-nucleotide ribosomal RNA is filed under the name uncultured fungus. RNAcentral describes it as "eukaryotic LSU rRNA". It matches the Rfam family "Eukaryotic large subunit ribosomal RNA", at positions 24 to 628 of the family's 3401-position model. Lineage: Eukaryota; Fungi. The record is from RNAcentral.
CCCGCUGAACUUAAGCAUAUCAAUAAGCGGAGGAAAAGAAACUAACAAGGAUUCCCCUAGUAACUGCGAGUGAAGCGGGAAAAGCUCAAAUUUAAAAUCUGGUGGUCUUUGGCCAUCCGAGUUGUAAUUUAGAGAAGCGUCUUCCGCGCUGGACCGUGCACAAGUCUCCUGGAACGGAGCGUCGUAGAGGGUGAGAAUCCCGUCUUUGGCAUGGACACACCAGGGCUUUUGCGAUGCGCUCUCGAAGAGUCGAGUUGUUUGGGAAUGCAGCUCAAAAUGGGUGGUGAACUCCAUCUAAAGCUAAAUAUUGGCGAGAGACCGAUAGCGAACAAGUACCGUGAGGGAAAGAUGAAAAGAACUUUGGAAAGAGAGUGAAACAGUACGUGAAAUUGCUGAAAGGGAAACGCUUGAAGUCAGUCGCGUCAGCCGAGAAUCAGCCUCCCCUCUGCUUGGCGUACUUCUCGAUCCGACGGGCCACCAUCGAUUUCACCUCUCGAAUAAAGCCUGAGGAAAAGUGCAUCUUCUACUGUGUUAUAUACUCCUGCUCAUACGUAGGGUGGGAAUUAGGGAACUCACCACGCGCCCGUCCGGCGUUUUAACCUCGCACACGAUACGUACGUAGGAUGAUGGCGUAUUAUCUUUCAUCGAUGCAACUUGAAACGACGAAUUCCGAAAUACCUUCAACACGCGUGACUAGACCCAUUAGUGAUUCUGAGCUCGGAGCAAUGCUGAUCAUGCUCAUAGCUGUGUGCAAUUGGUAUACGCUCUACACUCCCAUUACACACGACACACGAGCAUGAAGCAGUAAGUGCUGAAGCGCGUAUGACUGAUGAGACACAUAUUAAUCGUGAUGUCGCUACUGCUCACUGCUCACGUCUGCAAACCUGAACCUGCUGCUGCAUCAUUCAUUCAUGCAUCGCCCACGGAGGAGGGGGAAUGCGGGUUGGGAAGUUGUUCCGCUUUCCCCGUUCAUGGACUCCGAGCCCGUUGGGCGUCGGGGGUUGCGGGGGGGGGAAGACGGGUUCCUCCUCGCUGGGAGAAGGGGGUUUUCCCUAUUUCCCGGGGAAAGAGGGGG